Molecule: ribosomal RNA, 492 nt
Filed under: uncultured bacterium
Lineage: Bacteria
Description: partial 16S ribosomal RNA
Rfam family: Bacterial small subunit ribosomal RNA
Source: RNAcentral
AGUGAACGCUGGCGGUAGGCCUAACGCAUGCAAGUCGAACGGCAGCACAGUAAGAGCUUGCUCUUACGGGUGGCGAGUGGCGGACGGGUGAGGAAUACAUCGGAAUCUACUUUUUCGUGGGGGAUAACGUAGGGAAACUUACGCUAAUACCUCAUACGACCUACGGGUGAAAGCAGGGGAUCUUCGGACCUUUCGCGAUUGAAUGAGCCGAUGUCGGAUUAGCUAGUUGGCGGGGUAAAGGCCCACCAAGGCGACGAUCCGUAGCUGGUCUGAGAGGAUGAUCAGCCACACUGGAACUGAGACACGGUCCAGACUCCUACGGGAGGCAGCAGUGGGGAAUAUUGGACAAUGGGCGAAAGCCUGAUCCAGCCAUACCGCGUGGGUGAAGAAGGCCUUCGGGUUGUAAAGCCCUUUUGUUGGGAAAGAAAAGCAGCAGGUUAAUACCCCGAUGUUCUGACGGUACCCAAAGAAUAAGCACCGGCUAACUUCGUG